GUGCUUGCUUCAGCAGCAGUAUACUUACUAAAAUUGAAAUGAUAUGGAGAUAGCAUGGCCCAUAUACAAGGAUGACCUAGAAAUUCAUGCAGCAUUCCAUAAUUUU
Canis lupus familiaris (dog) is the source of this 106-nucleotide non-coding RNA. The record is from Rfam. NCBI's taxonomy places the organism in Eukaryota, Metazoa, Chordata, Mammalia, Carnivora, Canidae.